Molecule: long non-coding RNA, 356 nt
Filed under: Struthio camelus australis
Lineage: Eukaryota; Metazoa; Chordata; Aves; Struthioniformes; Struthionidae
Description: lncRNA (ENSSCUG00000012966.1)
Source: RNAcentral
UUAGAUUUAUUGUUAGUUUUUUGCCAUAAACUUGAAAACUGUUAACAAAAGCUUUCAGGUGGGAAGGGAAGAUCCCUGGGGAUCUGUGCUGCCGCGGUGCCCUCCGUUCUCCCCGGGAGCGCCGGCUCUGGGCUGCCCAGGGCCGCGGCUUGACUGCCGAGCACGGGACGGCACAGCUCUGCCACCCCAGAUGGCAAGAAAUCGGGUGCAUUUCCUGCAGCUCGAACCUUUCCAGCAACAAAAUCGAGGCUUUGCAGAUUUGCCGUUUCGGAGCAGACAGCUGCAGGUGCGUGGCCCUGUGCCGGGUGAGGGGUGGAGGCCGGACAUCUGAGCGGAUACUCCAAACGCUGCUGUGA